Molecule: ribosomal RNA, 460 nt
Filed under: uncultured bacterium
Lineage: Bacteria
Description: partial 16S ribosomal RNA
Rfam family: Bacterial small subunit ribosomal RNA
Source: RNAcentral
CCUACGGGAGGCAGCAGUGAGGAAUAUUGGUCAAUGGGCGCGAGCCUGAACCAGCCAAGUAGCGUGAAGGAUGACUGCCCUACGGGUUGUAAGCUUCUUUUAUAAAGGAAUAAAGUGAGGCACGUGUGCCUUUUUGUAUGUACUUUAUGAAUAAGAGUCGGCUAACUCCGUGCCAGCAGCCGCGGUAAUACGGAGGAUCCGAGCGUUAUCCGGAUUUAUUGGGUUUAAAGGGAGCGUAGAUGGGUUGUUAAGUCAGUUGUGAAAGUUUGCGGCUCAACCGGAAAAUUGCAAUUGAUACUGGCAGGCUUGAGUACAGUAGAGGGAGGCGGAAUUCGUGGUGUAGCGGUGAAAUGCGUAGAGAUCACGAAGAACUCCGAUGGCGAAGGCAGCUUACUAAGCUGCCACUGACAUUGAUGCUCGAAAGUGUGGGUAUCAAACAGGAUUAGAUACCCUGGUAGUC